RNAcentral lists this ribosomal RNA (748 nucleotides) under uncultured Glomeromycotina. Its description in RNAcentral is "eukaryotic LSU rRNA". It matches the Rfam family "Eukaryotic large subunit ribosomal RNA", at positions 37 to 633 of the family's 3401-position model. The record is from RNAcentral. Lineage: Eukaryota; Fungi; Glomeromycota.
UGCAUAUCAAUAAGCGGAGGAAAAGAAAAUAACAAUCGAUUCCCCUAGUAACUGCGAGUGAAGAGGGACAAGCUCAAAUUUUAAAUCUGUCGGGUUCUACCUGACCGAGUUGUAAUUUGAAGAGGCGUUUUCUGUGUUUCUGAUCAGUCCAAGUCCUUUGGGAUAAGGCAUCACGGAGGGUGAGAAUCCCGUUCGGUUGAUCAGAUUCGCUUUACGAUACGUCAUCAAAGAGUCAAGUUGUUUGGGAUUGCAGCUUAAAAUGGGAGGUAAAUUUCUCCUAAGGCUAAAUAUUGGCGAGAGACCGAUAGCGAACAAGUACCGUGAGGGAAAGAUGAAAAGUACUUUGAAAAGAGAGUUAAACAGCACGUGAAAUUGUUGAAAGGGAAACGAUUGAAGCCAGUCGUACCUGCGGAUAAUCAGCCUUUUGGGCGUGAUUAUGUGGUUCGUGAGGAGUUAAACCCCUCAUGUGUUGCAUAUUCGUGCACUUUGGGUGUACUUGCCCGUGUGGUUGGUUAACAUCAAUUUUGGACGUCAUAAAAUGACUGGAGGAAUGUAGCUUCGAUCUCGUAUCGAAGUGUUAUAGCCUUCGGUAGAUGUGAUGAUCGGGAUUGAGGAUUGCAACGGAUACCCUUCGGGGCUACCUGUCUGAUCUCUGAUCGUUGCUCUGGUGCCGAAAGCGUGCUUACGGUUAUCAAAGUCGAUGGUCAAUAGGUUAGAACGGGUUAAAUUCGUUAAGGAUGUUGACGUA